This 515-nucleotide ribosomal RNA is filed under the name uncultured bacterium. RNAcentral describes it as "partial 16S ribosomal RNA". It matches the Rfam family "Bacterial small subunit ribosomal RNA", at positions 28 to 523 of the family's 1533-position model. The record is from RNAcentral.
GAUGAACGCUGGCGGCGUGCCUAAUACAUGCAAGUCGAGCGAAUGGAUUAAGAGCUUGCUCUUAUGAAGUUAGCGGCGGACGGGUGAGUAACACGUGGGUAACCUGCCCAUAAGACUGGGAUAACUCCGGGAAACCGGGGCUAAUACCGGAUAACAUUUUGAACCGCAUGGUUCGAAAUUGAAAGGCGGCUUCGGCUGUCACUUAUGGAUGGACCCGCGUCGCAUUAGCUAGUUGGUGAGGUAACGGCUCACCAAGGCAACGAUGCGUAGCCCACCUGAGAUGGUGAGCGGCCACACGGGGACUGAGACACGGCCCAGACUCCUACGGGGGGCGGCAGUAGGGAAUCUUCCGCAAUGGACGAAAGUCUGACGGAGCAACGCCGCGUGAGUGAUGAAGGCUUUCGGGUCGUAAAACUCUGUUGUUAGGGAAGAACAAGUGCUAGUUGAAUAAGCUGGCACCUUGACGGUACCUAACCAGAAAGCCACGGCUAACUACGUGCCAGCCGCCGCCGUAC